CAGAUUAUACUCGUGAAGAAGAUAAUUGGUGUAGUUAGUGUAUUCGUCAGUGUUUGUUUACAAUAAGUUAUUAUACAACUUAAUAAAACGUUCUUUCUAAACAUAUAAUUUAAACAUCUAAUUUUAGCUUCAAACCUACAAAAGUAAUGCCAAAAAGACACAUCGUAAGUUUAUCGAAAAUAUUGACUUCGGCACAAGUUCUUCAUCCACAAAUUCUUCCGAUUCAGACUAAUGAAUUCUUCUCUAAAACCAACAUAAAUCAUCUUUUUUGGUAAAUUGUUUAAUUUUUAAAUUUGUUUACCACAUUUGGUUGCUAAAACAAUGUGUUUAAUUUAUUUAGGAAAAUUUUUUAUCAAACAAAAGUACGUUACAAAAUUCCUACGAUAAGGAAAGCGUGUUAUCUGUUAACCGCAAAAAUUGAUUAUAAAAGUUCCGUUUUUAACACAUUUCACCAGUUUUAUUAAAACUAUCUUUGUGAGAAGUUGUGUGUGCUCCGCUGUGUAUUUUUGCAUUUAAAUUUCAAAGUGUUCUAUAAUGGCUGAUCAACUGUUAAAUCUGAAUAAAAUUGCUGCCUGUGAAUAUACUGAUACAUAUAUCAGUGCCAACGUUUUGGAAGUGAACAAGAAAUAUAAAAUCAUCAAUUUAACCAAGGCAAACACACAACAUGGUUAUGAUGGUAGCAUAUCUGGACAACGUCGGUAAAGUUUUUUUACCUAAACGACUAACAGCAGUUAUGAUUGAUACCACAAUUACGACAUUAAUGGAAGGACUCGAAUCUUAUUUGAUUUACAAGAGACGUAAGCAAGCUUAUGGAAAUCAGGAACAUGAUGCUCACAUUUUUAAUUUCGAACGUAUUAUUCUCGAAGAUUAAUGUAAAAUUUUUGAUUAAUUCUGCACUGCAACACCCCGGACGCAAGAACAAGCAAGAACUCACGCUUCAUAUUUUUAGAUGUAUUUUAUGAUAGUUUGUUGAAUAGGUAUUAUAAGUUGGA
Long non-coding RNA from Tribolium castaneum (red flour beetle), 992 nucleotides. RefSeq lists it as uncharacterized. Lineage: Eukaryota; Metazoa; Arthropoda; Insecta; Coleoptera; Tenebrionidae. The transcript is spliced from 3 exons. The record is from RefSeq and is a predicted model, not a curated record.